UUGAAGUUGUUGAAGGAUGGACCAAGUAAUAACGAAGUUGGAGGGUCCAGCUCUCAAACACAAUAUAUGAAAGACCCUAAGAGAGUAAGGUGCAAUGGAGGGUCGAAACGAGUAACGGGAGCAAAGGAAAAGGCAAUGAAGCGAGGGAUUAGACACUGUCGGGAGUGUGGACACAUUGGUCAUGAUAGAAGACAAUGCCCAAGAAAUUUGAACACACCGACAUCACCGUCGAACAAUGACGAAUCAACUCCAAUAGAUCUUAGUGACCCAUUAUUUGACGAAUUUUACAGGAUGCACGGACCAACUCAAUGAUUUAGGUUUCUAUUAUACGAAGCCCGGUUAUUAUGAAGACUAAUGAUCAGGCUAAUGCAGCAUUUCCAGCAGCCAGCUAUUGUUUCCAUUACCAGUAAUGAUUUCCAGCAGCACGCAUCAUUUGUAGCAGCACCCACUUUUUGCGAAUGUUAUGUUCUAGUGUUUUACUGGUGAUUAAGAUCUGAGCUGGACUGGUUAUUAGGUGCACGAUUUUGCAAACAUUCGUAGCUGAAGGAUACUUGAAGCACUUUGUUGGAACAGAAAGAUUAGAAAGCAACGUGUAAAAAAGUACAUUGCAGCUAAUCACAUUUCGAAUGGUUGGGUAAUAUGAAAGGGUACACUAACAUUUGAACUACUCAUAAUUCCACACACAAAAGAAAAUUUGAUUGCAAAGCAUUUUAUGUGCUCCCUCUUAGCAAUACCACGAU
Prunus mume (Japanese apricot) is the source of this 740-nucleotide non-coding RNA. NCBI's taxonomy places the organism in Eukaryota, Viridiplantae, Streptophyta, Magnoliopsida, Rosales, Rosaceae. The record is from RefSeq and is a predicted model, not a curated record.